This 497-nucleotide ribosomal RNA is filed under the name uncultured bacterium. RNAcentral describes it as "partial 16S ribosomal RNA". It matches the Rfam family "Bacterial small subunit ribosomal RNA", at positions 28 to 507 of the family's 1533-position model. The record is from RNAcentral.
GAUGAACGCUGGCGGCGUGCUUAAUACAUGCAAGUCGAGCGAACGGACGAGAAGCUUGCUUCUCUGAUGUUAGCGGCGGACGGGUGAGUAACACGUGGAUAACCCACCUAUAAGACUGGGAUAACCUCGGGAAACCGGAGCUAAUACCGGAUAAUAUCCUGCACCGCAUGGUUCAAAAGUGAAUGACGGUCUUGCUGUCACUUAUAGAUGGAUCUGCGCUGCAUGAGCUAGUUGGUAAGGUAACGGCUUACCAAGGCAACGAUGCAUAGCCGACCUGAGAGAGGGGUCGGCCGCCCUGGAACUUGACCGGGGUCCAGGGUACUCAGAAAGGCAGCAGUCUGGAAUGUUACGCAAUGGGCGGAAACCUGGCAGAGCAAGACCAAGUGUGUGGUGAAAGUCUUCGGUUCGUAAUGCUCUCUUAUUGGGGAAAAACAGAUGUGUAAGUAGCUGAGCAGAUCUUGACGGUACCGGAUCAGAAAGCCACGGCUAACUACGUG